Molecule: ribosomal RNA, 487 nt
Filed under: uncultured bacterium
Lineage: Bacteria
Description: bacterial SSU rRNA
Rfam family: Archaeal small subunit ribosomal RNA
Source: RNAcentral
AGUGAAUAGAUACCCAGGUAGUCCUAGCCGUAAACGAUACUCGCUAGGCGUCGGCCACGGUGCGACCGUUGUCGGUGCCGUAAGGGAAAGCCGUGAAGCGAGCCACCUGGGAAGUACGGCCGCAAAGGCUGAAACUUAAAGGAAUUGGCGGGGGAGCACCACAACGGGUGGAGCUUGCGGUUUAAAUUGGAUUCAACGCCGGAAAUCUUACCGGGACCGACAGCAACAUGAAGGCCAGGCUGAAGACUUUACCGGAUUAGCUGAGAGGUGGUGCAUGGCCGUCGUCAGUUCGUACUGUGAAAGCAUCCUGUUAAGUCAGGCAACGAGCGAGACCCACGCCCACAGUUGCCAGCGUACUCUCCGGAGUGACGGGGUACACUGUGGGGGCCGCCGCUGCUAAAGCGGAGGAAGGAAUGGGCAACGGUAGUCAGUAUGCCCCGAAUAUCCCGGGCUACACGCGAGCUACAAUGGUUGGUACAAUGGGUAU